Molecule: ribosomal RNA, 323 nt
Filed under: uncultured eukaryote
Lineage: Eukaryota
Description: partial 18S ribosomal RNA
Rfam family: Eukaryotic small subunit ribosomal RNA
Source: RNAcentral
CCCCUAGAUGUUCUGGGCCGCACGCGCGCUACACUGAACAGUUCAACAAGUCUUAACCUUGGCCGAUAGGUCUGGGUAAUCUUUGAACGCUGUUCGUGAUUGGGAUAGACCUUUGCAAUUAUGGGUCUUCAACGAGGAAUUCCUAGUAAACGCAAGUCAUCAGCUUGUAUUGAUUACGUCCCUGCCCUUUGUACACACCGCCCGUCGCACCUACCGAUUGAAUGAUCCGGUGAAUAAUUCGGACCACUGCUAAGCCCAGCAAUGGAAUUAGCGGAGGGAAGUUUAGUGAACCUUAUCACUUAGAGGAAGGAGAAGUCGUANCA